Molecule: transfer RNA, 73 nt
Filed under: Anaerostipes hadrus
Lineage: Bacteria; Bacillati; Bacillota; Clostridia; Lachnospirales; Lachnospiraceae
Also listed under: 1 other name
Description: tRNA-Ile
Rfam family: tRNA
About the family: Transfer RNA (tRNA) molecules are approximately 80 nucleotides in length. Their secondary structure includes four short double-helical elements and three loops (D, anti-codon, and T loops).
Source: RNAcentral
GGGCGUUUAGCUCAGUGGUUAGAGCGGUGGCCUUAUAAGCCAUGUGUCACGUGUUCGAUUCAUGUAACGCCUA